CAAUAGCGUAUAUUAAUGUUGUUGCAGUUAAAAAGCUCGUAGUUGGAUUUCUGGUGGGAGCGGCCGGUCCGCCGUAAGGUGUGUACUUGGUUGUCUCCUGUCAUCCUUGUGGGAACUGCUCUGGCAUUAAGUUGUCGGGGUUAGGGAACACAUCGUUUACUGUGAAAAAAUUAGAGUGUUUAAAGCAGGCUUAUGCCGUUGAAUACAUUAGCAUGGAAUAAUAAGAUAGGACUUUGGCGUCUAUUUUGUUGGUUUGCACACCAAGGUAAUGAUUAAUAGGGAUAGUUGGGGGUAUUCGUAUUUAAUUGUCAGAGGUGAAAUUCUUGGAUUUAUGAAGGACGAACUUCUGCGAAAGCAUUUACCAAAGAUGUUUUCAUUAA
This 380-nucleotide ribosomal RNA is filed under the name uncultured eukaryote. RNAcentral describes it as "partial 18S ribosomal RNA". It matches the Rfam family "Eukaryotic small subunit ribosomal RNA", at positions 592 to 976 of the family's 1831-position model. The record is from RNAcentral.